GUUGAUUUGAGUUAUCUUGUGAUAUCUGGUAACCUGAAAGUCACAUGGACAGUUGAAAUAUGUAUUUCAUUGCUUCCCUGACAAUUCAGAGCAAAAGAGCUUACAAUUUCUCCUGUUCAUAAAGCUAGGUGUUUUCCCAAGGAUACUAUAGCAGGACUCAUGCAAGACUUAAACCAGCGACCUAAGAUAAAACUCCAUAAAAGCAGCGGAAGAGGCCAGUCAUAACCACCAUCAGCUUUCCUUCUUUUUCUCAGGACUCCACGUUAUGGCCGAUAUGAUGGAAAAGAUUAAAUUCCUCUUCCGGGUGUCGGUUUUGCUGAGUUGUCUGUGGUGUCUGGAUACCAAUGGCAACAUAGUGGCCGUAGGAGAAGGGCAGAAGGCCACUCUGGACUGUCUCCUGACCCUGGACAACAGAACAAGAACUGUGAGCUGGUACAAGCAGAGACAAGGAGAUGGGCCACAGUUCAUUCUCAGUUACACGCUCAAGAACAUCUCACGUCUGUCCUAUGGCAAUGGAAUCGAACGUCUGUCAUAUGGCAAUGGAAUCGACUCUAGUCGGUUUACUGUUCAAACCAAGGAGGAUAAUGCCCAACAGCAACAGUUAGAAAUAUUGGCAACUACAAGAAAUGACACAGCUGUCUAUUACUGUCUGCUGUCCAGCAGCGAUCUCCAAGAAAUGAAAACAAACUACACUGUGAGCGGGUAAAGACAGUGUGUCUGUUUUGAAAGUUUGACACUACAAGUAAUGUCUUUUCUCCUGUAAUAUUUUCUUAUCAUGAAAAUAGUUUUCAUUCCAGUUUAUGAAUAUUCAUGUUUAACACCUGGAAGAUUGCUUUCUGUGAAUUGUGCUGUUGUAGGAGAGGGUCUUGUGAACAGAUUACUGC
RNAcentral lists this long non-coding RNA (884 nucleotides) under Scleropages formosus (Asian bonytongue). Its description in RNAcentral is "lncRNA (ENSSFOG00015031007.1)". The record is from RNAcentral. Lineage: Eukaryota; Metazoa; Chordata; Actinopteri; Osteoglossiformes; Osteoglossidae.